Molecule: ribosomal RNA, 329 nt
Filed under: uncultured eukaryote
Lineage: Eukaryota
Description: partial 18S ribosomal RNA
Rfam family: Eukaryotic small subunit ribosomal RNA
Source: RNAcentral
CCCUUAGAUGUCCUGGGCCGCACGCGCGCUACAAUGACACGUUCAACAAGUUCUAUCCUGGCCUGGAAAGGUGCGGGUAAUCUUUUUAGUACGUGUCGUGUUAGGGAUCGAUCUUUGGAAUUAUAGAUCUUGAACGAGGAAUUCCCAGUAAGUGCGGGUCAUCAGCUCGCGUUGAUUACGUCCCUGCCCUUUGUACACACCGCCCGUCGCUGCCCGGAACUGAGCCGUUUCGAGAAGACUGAGGAUUGCUGACUUGAGGCCUUCACGGGCUUCUAGUCGGUGAAAAUCAAUUUAAUCGCAGCGGCUUGAACCGGGCAAAAGUCGUAACA